AUGAACGCUAGCGGCGCGCUUGAUCCAUGCAAGUCGAACGGACCUACGUUCUUCGGAGUGUAGGUGAGUGGCAAACGGGUGAGUAACACGUUGGUGACCUGCCCCUGAGUGGGGGAUAACUAUUCGAAAGGGUAGCUAAUCCCGCAUAAGCUCCGGCAUUCGCUUGUCGGAGGAAAGGCUUCGGCCGCUCUGGGAGGGGCCUGCGUUGGAUUAGCUAGUUGGUGGGGUAACGGCCUACCAAGGCGAUGAUCCAUAGGGGGCGUGAGAGCGUGGCCCCCCACACUGGCACUGAGACACGGGCCAGACUCCUACGGGAGGCAGCAGGAAGGAAUCUUGCGCAAUGGGCGAAAGCCAGACGCAGCGACGCCGCGUGGGUGAUGAAGGCCUUCGGGUUGUAAAGCCCUUUUCCGAGGGAAGAGUAGGGACGGUACCUCGGGAAUAAGCCUCGGCUAACUACGU
RNAcentral lists this ribosomal RNA (459 nucleotides) under uncultured bacterium. RNAcentral describes it as "bacterial SSU rRNA". It matches the Rfam family "Bacterial small subunit ribosomal RNA", at positions 29 to 506 of the family's 1533-position model. The record is from RNAcentral.